AUGUCUGUGCAUGAUUCUAACCAAUCCAGUGUGAUAAACCUAACCACGGGGGCGAUCUCAGGCAAUGAAGUAGAAAAUGGUAGUGCUACUAUUGAUUGGUCAAGCUUUGUGAUUGAACCAGAAAACGAUGGGGAUGAAAAACCGCUGGACGAGAAAGCCAUGUUUGCUCUGUUUGGUUUAAAAACAGAGCCGGAUGAGAGAGCAACUGAGCUUCCUACUCCUGAUGUGGAGUCUGACUUACAUGAUAUCAAAGAUGCAGAUAUUGUUGUUGAUGAUAAGGCUCCAGAGGAGCCACUUAUUGCCUGGGAUGAACGAAACCCAGCCAUGGAUAUAGGGACACCUUAUCCUAACAUGGUUGAAUUUAGAAAGGCUUUAAAACAGUGGGCUGUCAAUGGAGAGUUUGAAUAUGGCACCAAAAAAAAUGAGCCGGGGAGGUUUCGGGCUUUUUGCAAAGGUCAAUCCAUAAUAGGUGAACCUUGCAAAUGGGCUAUAACUGCUAGUUGGCGAAGGGAUGAAAAUUGUGUGAUGGUAACUGCCUUUUUGUGCUUUAUAUGUUUCUUGCUUCAUAUGUUUCUUGCUUCAUUUUUUUGUCAUAGUAAUAACCUUCAGAUCUGUACCAUUUUUUGUUGUAGGUUGUGA
This 639-nucleotide ribosomal RNA is filed under the name Triticum aestivum (bread wheat). Its description in RNAcentral is "partial small subunit ribosomal RNA". The record is from RNAcentral. Lineage: Eukaryota; Viridiplantae; Streptophyta; Magnoliopsida; Poales; Poaceae.